Molecule: ribosomal RNA, 499 nt
Filed under: uncultured bacterium
Lineage: Bacteria
Description: partial 16S ribosomal RNA
Rfam family: Bacterial small subunit ribosomal RNA
Source: RNAcentral
GACGAACGCUGGCGGCGUGCCUAAUACAUGCAAGUCGAGCGAAGUUUUUCUGGUGCUUGCACUAGAAAAACUUAGCGGCGAACGGGUGAGUAACACGUAAAGAACCUGCCUCAUAGACUGGGACAACUAUUGGAAACGAUAGCUAAUACCGGAUAACAGUAUUUCUCGCAUGAGAGAUAUUUAAAAGUUGGUUAUGCUAACACUAUGAGAUGGCUUUGCGGUGCAUUAGCUAGUUGGUGGGGUAAAGGCCCACCAAGGCGACGAUGCAUAGCCGACCUGAGAGGGUGAUCGGCCACACGGGGACUGAGACACGGCCCAGACUCCUACGGGAGGCAGCAGUAGGGAAUCUUCCGCAAUGGGCGAAAGCCUGACGGAGCAACGCCGCGUGAGUGAAGAAGGAUUUCGGUUCGUAAAGCUCUGUUGUUAGGGAAGAAUGGAUAUGUAGUAACUAUACAUGUAAGAGACGGUACCUAACCAGAAAGCCACGGCUAACUACGUG